UAAGGAAUAUUGGUCAAUGGACGCAAGUCUGAACCAGCCAUGCCGCGUGAAGGAUGAAGGUCCUCUGGAUUGUAAACUUCUUUUAUCUGGGACGAAAACGGGAUUUUUAUCUCAAUGGACGGUACCAGAGGAAUAAGCACCGGCUAACUCUGUGCCAGCAGCCGCGGUAAUACGGAGGGUGCGAGCGUUAUCCGGCUUUACUGGGUUUAAAGGGUGCGUAGGUGGGCUUAUAAGUCAGUGGUGAAAUCUCCGAGCUUAACUUGGAAACUGCCGUUGAUACUAUAGGUCUUGAAUUAUCUGGAGGUAAGCGGAAUACGUCAUGUAGCGGUGAAAUGCUUAGAUAUGACAUAGAACACCAAUUGCGAAGGCAGCUUACUACAUAUAAAUUGACGCUGAGGCACGAAAGCGUGGGGAUCAAACA
Molecule: ribosomal RNA, 421 nt
Filed under: uncultured bacterium
Lineage: Bacteria
Description: bacterial SSU rRNA
Rfam family: Bacterial small subunit ribosomal RNA
Source: RNAcentral